Molecule: transfer RNA, 75 nt
Filed under: bacterium
Lineage: Bacteria
Description: tRNA-Val
Rfam family: tRNA
About the family: Transfer RNA (tRNA) molecules are approximately 80 nucleotides in length. Their secondary structure includes four short double-helical elements and three loops (D, anti-codon, and T loops). Further hydrogen bonds mediate the characteristic L-shaped molecular structure. tRNAs have two regions of fundamental functional importance: the anti-codon, which is responsible for specific mRNA codon recognition, and the 3' end, to which the tRNAs corresponding amino acid is attached (by aminoacyl-tRNA synthetases). tRNAs cope with the degeneracy of the genetic code in two manners: having more than one tRNA (with a specific anti-codon) for a particular amino acid; and 'wobble' base-pairing, i.e. permitting non-standard base-pairing at the 3rd anti-codon position.
Source: RNAcentral
GGGUGAUUAGCUCAGUGGUAGAGCGCUUCGUUGACAUCGAAGAGGUCACAGGUCCGAUCCCUGUAUCACCCACCA